UAGGGAAUCUUCCACAGUGGGCGAAAGCCUGAUGGAGCAACGCCGCGUGUGUGAUGAAGGGUUUCGGCUCGUAAAACACUGUUGUAAGAGAAGAAUGACAUUGAGAGUAACUGUUCAAUGUGUGACGGUAUCUUACCAGAAAGGAACGGCUAAAUACGUGCCAG
Molecule: ribosomal RNA, 164 nt
Filed under: uncultured bacterium
Lineage: Bacteria
Description: partial 16S ribosomal RNA
Rfam family: Bacterial small subunit ribosomal RNA
Source: RNAcentral